UUGGCUUUGCAAAUUCAGCUCUACUUGAUUCAUUUUCUUGUCUUGUUCCUUGUUCCUUUUUUCAGAAGCUUUAAUAAUUUUUUCCAAGGCUUCCUCCCAAUUUUAAUGUUCUUCCUAUUGUAGUGGAGGUGGACACAAGAAAUCCUGUGGGUAUGUUGGACUUGGAGCAUAAAAUUGAUCUUGAUUGUUCCUCCAUGAAAAAUCCGAGUGAUACCCC
Molecule: long non-coding RNA, 217 nt
Filed under: Panax ginseng (ginseng)
Lineage: Eukaryota; Viridiplantae; Streptophyta; Magnoliopsida; Apiales; Araliaceae
Description: long non-coding RNA (PGIN_LNC010893)
Source: RNAcentral